GGCAGGGGCAGCCUUAGAGACUCCUGUGGCUUUGCUGCAGCAAGUCUUCUUCUCGAGGUCUCUCCUUGAGGACUGAGUGAGAAUUAGGAUUCACAUACAUGAACAUGAGGAUGAACCUCUUCGGAGUUGUCUCCUUUCCUACUACUGAUUUUGUCAUCCCUGUUUAGAAGGAUGCAGCACAGUCAGUUCUGGUGAGCUGAUUCUGGAGGGUGAGUCUCUGCCUACAUAAUUUACCCAGCCCAUGUGAUGUACAACGCUUAGAGCCCAUCAAGCCUCAUAUGACUGAGGGGAGUUGGAACAAUGUGCAUCAGCAUGCCUCUGAAUCAAGACUAAAAUCAUGCCAGAGUCCACUGAAGCACAGCUCAAGCUCCUCGAGUGGCUAUCAGUAGCAUCCCCUAGCCUGCCCGA
This is a long non-coding RNA of Mauremys mutica (yellowpond turtle), 408 nucleotides long. RefSeq lists it as uncharacterized. The record is from RefSeq and is a predicted model, not a curated record. The transcript has 3 exons. NCBI's taxonomy places the organism in Eukaryota, Metazoa, Chordata, Testudines, Geoemydidae.